Molecule: ribosomal RNA, 376 nt
Filed under: uncultured bacterium
Lineage: Bacteria
Description: bacterial SSU rRNA
Rfam family: Bacterial small subunit ribosomal RNA
Source: RNAcentral
UACGUAGGUGGCGAGCGUUGUCCGGAUUUACUGGGUGUAAAGGGCGUGUAGGCGGGUUUUUAAGUCCGGUGUGAAAUGCCACGGCUCAACCGUGGAAUUGCACUAGAAACUGGAAAUCUUGAGUGCUGGAGAGGAAAGCGGAAUUCCUAGUGUAGCGGUGAAAUGCGUAGAUAUUAGGAGGAACACCAGUGGCGAAGGCGGCUUUCUGGACAGUAACUGACGCUGAGGCGCGAAAGCGUGGGGAGCAAACAGGAUUAGAUACCCUGGUAGUCCACGCUGUAAACGAUGGAUACUAGGUGUGGGAGGUAUCGACCCCUUCCGUGCCGGAGUUAACACAAUAAGUAUCCCACCUGGGGAGUACGGCCGCAAGGUUGAA